This 13633-nucleotide long non-coding RNA is filed under the name Gallus gallus (chicken). The record is from RNAcentral. Lineage: Eukaryota; Metazoa; Chordata; Aves; Galliformes; Phasianidae.
GCAGACUUUUUCUGGACAGUGCAAAAUAGUUUGUGUGUGCUAUAUAAUUAUUAGAAUUCCUAGAGGUUGUUCUGAAGAAGUUCAAAGCAUGGGCCAUAGUUUAUUUUUAAAUAUAUUUGAGUAGAUUUUGCAGUCGGCAUAUGACAGAAGGAAUCUGAAUUUUGUCUUUGAAAAACCACCACUGUAGGAGCUGGAUUAUUCAUUCCUAUGUAUUUUUCCUGUCCUAGAAAGAACAGAACAAGUAAGAAAGAAGAAGGAAGGAAGGAAAAGGAAGGAAAAAAGAAAAAGGAAACAAAAAGAACAUAGGAAAGAAUACAGAAAAAAACAUCAGAAAAAAAAAUGGGAGGAAAAGAACAGAAAAGAAAACAAUGGGACAAGAGGGGGAAAAAAAAAAGAAAGAAAAAGAAGGAAAGAAACUUGGAAAAAGACAAUUCCAGUAUACUUCCUGAAAGGAUUUUCAGUAAAAGACUAAUAAGCCAUAUACUGCGACAGUACUGUAAGUCAGAGGAAGAAGGCUAUGAAAUGGAGUGGGCAGCUACACACAUCAGGACCACUAAGGAGAAAGUUCUAGGUGAAGGCAGUCGUGAAGCACACACAUCCUACAGAAUGACCACGAUAUGGACUGCAGUUCUUCACACUGACAGCGUGAGAAGAAAGAAGAAACAGUGACGAAUUCACCCUGUGUAUUAAGGACCUCUACCACCUCCUCCCGUUAACCCCCACCUUACAUCCUUGUCCUGCACCUCUGGAAGCUCAUUUGUUAGUGCAAUGUCAUGUGUUCUCUUUAGUGCCUCAACUCAGGGUGCUGGUUGGAGGCAGCUGGGUGCUCCCUCCGUAUAAUAUGUGUCCUAGCCCAGGCUGAGGGGGCAAACCUGCUCCCUCUGGACUCUGUAUCCAGAUUAGGUAUGAGUUUGACAGAGAGCUGUUCUUCUUUGGAGUGUUAAUUCUGUCUUCAUUAGUGAAUUUAUGCAUAAAAGAAAGAAAACACGAACAGCACCAAUGUGAUCAUUCACCCAAGAGAUGUCCAUCCUGAAUCAAAGCAAACUGUGGCAGGUAAAAUCCAGCCUUUCAUUUCUGUUGGAAUGCAGCUGGCCAACCUCCCUUACCCUCCGAGCCACCUUAGAGGGUAAAGGGGCUAUGAACUUUGCAGAGAUUCACAAGUGGCACCCAACAUCCCACCAGUCUGCUGCAAGCACAAUGCUUUUAUUUUGAGACGAAGAGAUGAAGUCUGGGAAUCUACUGCGUGCCAAAGUCUUCCUGGAGAAUAUGGAGCUCCCUCAAAAUUGAGCUGGUGUGAAACUGCUCUGAGCCUACAAGUGCCUGCAAUACGACAAGUGCCUGCUGUACCACCACUCUCAUCUCUGAAACCAGUUUCUUCAUCGCCCCACAAUCGAUACAGAUGUUGCUGUAGUCAGGCAACAGAAUGCCAAUGCAGCACCCUGGGAACAGAGGAGCAGUUGUUUUCACCCUCUGUCAGGCAAGGAAAGCACCUGCCUCUUUCCAACAAGAACUUAUUCAGCUUGAGCAUCUCCAUAUGAAACAAUUAAUGGAACAGAAAGGCAGUGAGAAGAAAUCCACCAAGGGUAAGUGAUGUACACGUUGUUCAGACUCCACAGUGUCCAUUCACUUGUAGGUAAGUGCUUUUAUGACCAUGUGUACCACUUUGGCUGAGUGAUCCUUGCAGAUCUUGUGGUGGAGCAUAUUCAAAGGAUGUACAUAAGCCAUGGCACAGCUGCUCCUGACAUGCCUUGUGCAAGAAAUCUUAUUUUUACCCUAAUUUUGGGAAAUAAGAAGUUGGCUAAUAAUGGCUUUAUUGCUGGUCAUGUUUCAGCUUUUCAUUCUUUUUCUUGAGUUGUGCACAGCAGCUCAGCAGCAGUCAUUGUCCUUUACAGGACUGAAGCUUCCCAGAGUUAGAUCAUGAUCUGCAAGCCAUGGUCCUCGGUGCUGAGCUCAGCUGCUCUACAGCAGAACUCGUGCUAGCAGUGUUACUUAUGACAGCAUCACAGCUUCUUGUACUGGUGGAGCUCAAUGUUCUCUAUCUAUGAGUUUAAUAGCUAUCUUCAACAUUGGUAGCAAAGACUUUUCUUGUUGUUUUCAGUUUAGAGAUUGCAUAGAAGGACGUGCAGUUAUGAACGACUGCUCUUAGGGAAAUCAAAAAUCCUUUUUACAUUUUGUUUUACUAAUGAAGGUAUCAAAGUCACACUCAAGAAGCAAGAGGGGGAGGGGUUAAGCUUUCAGAAACUAUUCAGGUUAGCCUGCAGAUCCCUGCAUGUCCUCUCACUUCAGAAUUGAAAGCUCCAUGUAAUUUGCCUGUCUCCAUAUCCUUAAGUGCAGUCUGAGUAGCUCAGAUUUACACAAACUUUGCUUAGAACAGAUCAUUAUCUUUUGCUGAACCACUUCCACAGCAUUUGGGCAUGUUUUCCAGAUGAGACAUUCAAAGUGGGUGAAUACAUAUGGUACCUCAGCAGGUUUUUUUUCCUGUGAAGUUAAAAGCAUGCUAGGUGUUACCACACAACAUUUGCAAUGACUAUCAGCUCAGCAUUUAAAGUGUUGUCUUACCAGUGCUUGCUCAUCCUCAGAGAAACCUGUUCUUGCCAAAAUACAGCAAUGGGGUUUAAUCCAACACUGUCAUUUCAAAGCAAUCUCUCAAAUUCGGUAAGCAAUAGGCCAACGGCCACUGCAGCCUUAGUAGAGGAGGAAUACAUGCCCAUUGGUGCUUCUCAGGCUAUGUGUAAGUUAAUGCCUGUGCACACGUGGCUUUGGAAAUCCACCAAGUAAAUUACUCCUGCAGUUCAAUCUGCUGGUAGCAGAACUGCCAAAACCACUGAAGCUGAGUGAAAUCCUGUAUUCGUGAAUGAUGCUCUGAAGUUCACAGGAAGUAAAUCCAAGUUUAAUUCUUCUGGAUUAAGAUACUUCCAUUUUUUAUCCAGGAUUCCCUGCCUUUGUGGCACUGCUAGCUUUCAAGCCUAUCAGAGAGGAUUUCUCUCAAAGUAGUGCUUAUCACAGUAUGCCAUUCUCCCCAGUCCAAUAAAACCUCCACAACAAAUUCACUUCCUAAUUUUUCCAGAGGUGACAUUAAUGCAGGCAAGGUGACCCUAAAGAAACUUCUGGGCUCUCAGCUACCAACACUCUGAUAGCAGAAAUUGUCACUAAGCAAUCAAGAGAUGACUGUUUUGUCUGAACUCCUUUUCAAACUAAAGCCCAACGUGUGAAGCUGAGAAACUGCAACACAGAACAAGGGCAACAUUCCUCUCCUAGCAGAAGCCAUUUGAUAGAUAGCCAAGCCCCACUUAUGCACUGAUACUUACCUUAGUUCAACUCCAGUGUGAAUCCCAGAUCAGAAAGUAGGCAGCCGGUAUUCAGCUCCAUUUUCCAGUUGAGCUGGCAGUGCUGGUCCCUUGCAGUAUGAAUAAGUAGCAGUGGUUCACAAGCCACAGAGCCAAGAGAGACCCAGCCAAGGCAAGGUAUGCUGCUGCUUUCUGCUCAGGUUUUGAGGAGGAAACAGCAGCCAAAAUCUCAGUCACUGCGUAACAGUUCAAGCCAUGCAGUAAUUCUGACACUGGAAGGUACAGCCAAAUAAAUAUAUUUCAUGGUACCAAAACACAAUGGUUCCAACAAGUCAGACUGCUCAGGCAGGUUCCUAGUUUGUGUAGAGUGCACGAGGGCUGGUUUUGCCACCAACACUUUCCCUGGGUUGUUAGCACUUCUGGAAAAGCAUCAAGCACAACUGACACAGCAAAGCAUACUGAUGCUAUUUAACAUGCUCAAAGAAAUACCAGAAAGACAGAGGCCUACACACAGCCUCUCUUUCCUUGAAAAGGUCCAGAUUACCAGGGCUUUUGGAGCAACGAAGGAUAUAGUUUUGCUUACUGCUGUAUUACUGUGCUGACAUGUAUCACAGGAUAUGGAGGCAGGAGGAAUGAGGCAUGCCAGCUGCAGGCUCACGCCACCUCCUUUUGGGAAGUAAACCACCCCAGCAACUAUUUCAAAGUUUAAUAGCAGUGUUAACAUACUGAAGGUAGAAACGGGCAGGCAGAUGCUUAGCCAGCAAAUUUCAUUCCAAACAAAGAGCAGACAAACUGAGGAGAAAAAAAUGUGGAAUCGGAGGAAGAGAAAAAAAAAAGAACUCCAAUCUGAAAACAAAUGGUGAACAAGAAGUAAAAGCAGAAACAAGGCAAACAGAAUAAGACACAAUGACACAAAAUAAGGACUGAAUAGAAUCUCAUCAGUUGCGAUGUUGUGAAGCUACAAGACAUCCCUGUCACUCAGUUCCUGAAUGCGUUUUGGCUGAGGCAGGAGAACUUCAGUUCUCUAACACUGUCCAAAACAGUAAUUUGGACUAUUUACCAUACAGCUAUUCUCCACGUCCUGUCAACGGGAUCCUACUUAUCUAACUUACUCCCAUAGCCUGAUCACCAGACGUUACCUCUGAUGCUCCUACCAGCUGCCCAAGCAGACGAGGAUGAACAUCCUUUUUUCUGCUUUAUAGUACCUGUUUGAGACAGCACUGGGCAGCUUGCACCUCUGUUGCUCAUAAGCAGCCUUGCCCUCCGCGGUGAGGGCUUCAACUUAGCUGUCAGCUGCCCAUCUUUGACAAGCGCAGCAGUUUCUUACUUUUCUUACUGUACCGCAAGGGCAAAAAGAAAGGUAGAAGUGUUAUUCUAAUAGGAAUAGUAUGAGAGGAAGGAAAAAAGAAAGCCCUAGAGCCCUACUUUUGACCACUAGUUUACAAAUGCUGGCACCUUUGUCGACAUGAAUUUUUGAAGUGCAAGCACAUGAAAGGCUAGGGAGUACUGGCAGAAGGAGGAAGUAUUUUCCUAUAAUGAGUUUUAUUACAAAGUCAAAUGAUUUGUUUGCUAUUUCAUGCAAGCUGUAUUCCUUUUGCCUUUUUACUGUAAGGAUGAGCAGAAACUAUUACACUGAUGUAAAGCUUAGUGAAAGCCAUUUAGAAAGAUCAGAGAAACUUUUAAAAGUAUUUUAUUCUUUUUAGUACAGAUACAAUAUUCUUUCAAGGUCACUUCAGAGUAAGUGGCAUGCAGCCUAUUGAAAUCCAGGUGCCCAUACAGUCAUUUCAAGUUAAAUGUGCACAGUGUAUUCUACAACACUAAAACUACAUUUAGAGAGGAGAGGAGCUCUUGCUUCAGAAUGAUUUGGCAGCUUCAAAACCAAUUCAAUAAGCAUUUUCAAAACCAACUCAAUAAACAACAAAAACCAAAACUGAAAUGCAGCACACCCUGACCAUCAAACAACACACUUAUCUGAGUAAGGACCUUUUAGCAGAUCUGGCUGAAGCAGCGGCAGAGCCAUCUUUAUCGUGACCUUCGAAGUAUUGCUGCUCUAUUCGCCUACAAAAGGCUGUGAGGUUACCAUAGUUUUUCACUUUUUCAGAGAGUUCAUCAGUGAUUAGUUGAGUAGUAAGGAUUGUGAACAGAUGUCCAAAUACCAGAGCAUCUAAUUCAGUUGGUCUGUAAAAACAGAAGAACAGAACAGAUAUUUUGGAAGGCAAGUCCUGAUCGAGAAACAUCCCAUCUCUGGUUUGAGUAACUUCCAGGUAACCACACAACCUAAGAACUGAGAAUAAAGCAACACUGAAUUCAGCAAACACACAGGAAAUAAACAUAGAUCUCAAUAUGCCAUCUUUCUUUCCUUUUGGUGAUUGGGAAACAUAAAAAUAACACUUACAGAAGGAGCACGGUUACUGAUCAAAGUCAGCCAUGCUCCACCAUUGGUUUUGUUCCUGCAACUCUUUUCUAAAUAAAUAAAUGAAUGACUCAACUGAAAACUAGAAGAGGGGGAAAUGAAGCCCUUCCUAUUCCCUUUUUGUGCUUUUUCAUACUCGAGCUACUUAGCCAAUAAGAAAAGGAGCUCCAGAAUGACAACAGCCGGCGACAUUUAUUUCAUAGAAGUGGACACAAAGCAGGUGUCACAGAAGACUCUUUAGAAAUGUCAGCCUGCUCUUGGUUAAUUGUCACACCAACAUAGUGGUAAUUUUGCUCUUUUUCAGUGUUACUCCCCUACUACUGCUUAAUCCACAAAACCUCCAACUCUGCCUGCAGAGGAUGCCUAAAAACAAGAGCCUGAGAAACCUGGAGGUUUUCAGCACCGUUCAUUACACUACAGUUAUCAGCCCUGAAUACAACCCAGGAAGUACUCCACAGAUGUUAUAUAGCAUUUAAUUUAAAUAUGUAAAAAACUCACUGAAUUACAGAGAAAAAAAUAGCAUUUUGCAAUUGGCAUCAACGAGUGGAAGCAAAAGACAUCCAACAAAGGCCAGGUUGUUCCUUUUAUCUCCUGUCCUGUGCUUAGUAAAGAACGCUGCCUAAGAAAUACAAGCUAUAAACAUAUCUUUCUUUGUUUCUUUUUAAGAAAUUAACUGUAUACAGGUGCAAGCUUGUAGACUACGUGAGCUGUGGUGCUCUCUUUGUAAAUAAAGACAAAUAGGAAUAAAAAUGAAUUAUCAAUUAAAAAAAGCCUUACAUAAACUUUCCUUUUAAAAUCUAUAGUGACUUGUUUCUGAAAUUGUAUUGCAGCCACACAUUCAAAUUUCCUCAUCCAUUAAUGUAACGUUAAAGUAAAACAGAAGGUUUCCAUACUUAUACCUGUAUGCACAUUUUUUAAAUAUACUUCUGUAGAUAUACAGGUGGGGUUUUUUGUGGAUAUACCAUUUCUGUAGAGAGUAACUUACUGCUUAUUGAAGAAAUAUGGUUGUGUUCCUAAUCUCUGGGAGAGAGCCUGACAACACUGGUCUACAUCUUCAAGCACCUAUCAAAACACACAAGAGAUAAGAUAAUCAUCUUGUCAGGAAAGAACAACAGUAAAUAUAAAUAUAUAUAUACACCUUCUUACUGUACUUGUGCUGACAGAGGGGACAAGGAAUAUACAAUGUUGGAGCAUCAAAAGCUGUUAAAGGUAGCAGCUAAGUGUUAUUUAAUCACACAUUUAACAUAGAGCCAACUCUAAUUAAGUGCUUUCCAAGAAAUGUUUAACUUAGCUUAAUGAAAGGUACUAACUUACAUAUCAAACUGCUUUCUUUGUUGUUUUUUUUUUAGACUUCUGAGAAGUGAAGCUGCAGUCCUGCAAGGUGUGCCUAUUAAUGCCACAGGAGAGGGGCAAUAAUUAAAAAUGUGUUUUUCAGGACCACCGGCUGAACUAACAUGAACAGAGAUGCACAUGUGGUAAAGCAUCCUUCCUCCCACUCCAUCAGGCUGUACAUCAGUUAAGAUUUAUCACUGCUGAUGACAGAUACCUGACCUCACAUAACUCUUUAAGCACAGAGUUUUGUUGUAACAGUUGUAGUUAAAUAAAGUGUUAUUUCUCUUAAGCCUUAAAUAAAAGAACAGUGGAAAACAGUGGGAAGAAAUAAGCUUCACCCCUCAUACUGACCUGUUCAAGCGACUUGCCAGCCCACCCAAUGGCCUUCAUCUUUCUCCUUAUCUCCCAUUGCUUCUGAUAGGACAAAAUGCGGUUAAGAGGCCAGGGGUAAGGGGAGCCAUACCUCGGGUGAGUAAUCUUUGGUAAGAAACAGAAAGUGACUUUGUUAUCAUAUAAACAAUGCAGACAGCUCUAUUUACAAAACAGCUAGUAGUCUCAUCUUUCUAUCACUGAGAGCAAUAAAGAGAAAGAAUGUUGUGUGAUAUGCUGCAAUUAUUUGUGCAGAAUUUAUUGUUUUCAGUAGAACCAUUUAAAAUUACUACCUUGGAAACAUAUGCAAAACUCCUAUUUGUUCCACAGUCACAUACCUCCAGUCAAGUUACAACUUCCCUAAAAUGUAUAUGCAAGCAGAAUGCAAGUGAAAAGACUGUAUCAUUAAUGGUACAGAGCUCAAUGUUUCAUUUAUGAGUAGGGACUUCCAUUUGUGAGCAAAAGUGUUUUCUCAUUAAAUUUUAAUUAAGAUAAAUGUUGCAGAACCACUCACCUCCUCUACUGUAACAUCAUCACACCAUUGCAGAUAGAGCUAGGAACAGAAAGAACACUUACUACAACUUCCUAAUAAACGAGAAUACAGAUACAAUCAUUUCUCACUAGUAGAAUUUUCCUUUCUAUAUUAGAUUAAAUUUCCAUUUAGUGCCUUCUAUUAGACUUCUGAACAUAGUAAAGAAAUUAAAACUAGAGUCACAAGCCCAGCUCCAAGUUGCUGGCUCACAAGCAGCACAACCAGGCUGGAGCCGAAGGCCCGCUCCAGUUGCCUGUGCCACACACAGCUCAACACACAGGUUCCCAGCCCUCAGCCGUGUGCCUGGGGUUGCUCGUGCCUGCGAGCAUUUCCAGCACCGGCACCACGUCACAUUAACGGCUCAUGGGCACGACCCGCGGGGCAGGCCAGCCUCCAGCAAGGCACAGGAGCGUGCAUGGAAGGCGACAGUGGGGCUGUACAGCAGGCUAUGGGUUGAGGCAGGAACCCAAGGACUGCUGGCGUUUUCCAUGCACGCAAAUCAGGCAUUUCUACAGCUACGGGGCAUGCUUCAGACAGGUGAGGGGAGCUGUACACGUGGCUUGUGUCUGCAGGAAUAUUUCAUCAAGUAGUCCUCAGGAUCCAGAGAAUUUAUUCCCGUCUCAUUUCACCUUAAAAACCGAUGACCUGAUUUAAGAUUUAAUCUAAGAACAAACACUAUUUCCAGAACGAGAAAAUAUCAUGAAGCAUUCUUGCCUACAAUCGCUUAUGGAAGUAUGUGCAGUUACUAUGGUUUGCUGUACCUCCGCUGUCAGGAGCAUAUUAUUGACUAAUUCCAUGUAGGCUUUCAUCUCAGCUUUUUGGACUUCAUCCAACCCAUCGCUGAGAGAAUGGCCCUAAUGGGGAAAGAAAGAGACACAUAAGAGAGGAUAUUGGAAUAUUCAGCAAUGCCUGACCCAAGGACCUCAGAAGUCAACGUGCUUUGGCUCAGAUACUGAUCUGUCACACAGCACGUAACAAGUUGUGUGUGUACUUUCUGCAUAAAGCAUCCUUUAGAAUGAAAAAGAAAUCAUCAUAAUGUAACAGAAGUGAUCUGCAAUAAAUGUGGGUUGUUAGCAGUUACAGGUGAGCACACAACCUGUGUCAAGAAGUAAACACAGAUUUACAUCUGUGCUGCAGCUUUAUGAAGUGCUCACUGAGAAGACAAUGUUGUUGAAAAUACAGCUUCAAAAUUUACACCAGUAAUUUCUGGGUUUAAGAAUUCUCAGACAGAGAUGUAGAAAACCAGCUGCAGAAAUUGGCAGUGGUAUGCACGUGUCCUGCAUGGGAUUUGCUUCCUGAAUUUGAGGUAAUGCCAAAGUGAAACAUUUCCACCUCAGCGCUCUCACUUCAGAGUAUCUUUCUCUUGAACCAGCACGAGAUUGCUGCACUGUUUCAAACAGUAACGUUCCAGAAGAGCACAGCAGCUCCACAGCAGUCUGAGGAAGACUGGUACGCAACCCAGCAACAGACGCAGACCCUGUGUGAUUACCUUGGCUUUCACAAACUGGACUAUGGGCCCGAGUUCAGAUACUACUUGGUUUCCCACAUGAAUAAAGGGCACUUUGCCUGUAAAAUGAGAAAUGUAUUUUAGUAGGAGCUUUUUAUACAUGUCAACCAUCAUUUCAUAUUUUCAAAGCAAUUAAAUAUCGCACGUAUGCCUGAACACCAGUCUUGGUUUUUUGUUGGGUUUUUUUCCAGUUGAGCACAGGUGAAGUUUUUACAUAUGAAGCUCACGCAGCUUUCAUUUGUAAUAACCAACGUAACCACCCCAUCUUCUUCCUUCUGACCCUCUUUGACGUGCAAGACUUGCAAUUCCCUAUCUCAAAGUUAUUGAAUGAGAUCUAUUGAAUGAGACCUGUAUUUUAAUAACGCAUUUUGCUUUGCUGGAAAGACUGAAUUCAACAUUUCUCUGAAGUACAGGUGGGAAAUCCCAGGCAAUCAGACUGAGCCCUCGGACAGUAUGACAAGACAUUCCCACCCUCCCUUCCAUCCCACGAGCAGGGAAAGGGCUGCUGAAAUGGAUGUGGGAGAUGUGGCACCGAGCCCAGAAAAGCAAGCAGGGAAAGCAAAAUGCACACUCAGCACGGCAGGAUCUUGUCUCUCCCUCCUCCCAUCCUCCAGAUUUCCAGUGACUGGGACCAGUUCUUAAAGGGGAUCUGAGGGCUCCUCCUUCAACCCACCCUAACCACGCCGCUCGUUCUCUAACUCUUCAACCAGCUGCAACUGACUAACAGCAACUUUAAGUACUGUGUAAAUUUAAGGCCAAAUGUUCAUGAUUACUUACAUGACUGAAAUUGGCCAUAAGACAGAGACACACUGGGCAGUUUGCAUUACUGAGAAAGCCCUCGUGACCAAAUACAGCAAAGAAGCCACCCAGUGCAGUGGGACACAGCACACUCUUACUUCCCUGUCUCGCUGUGGGCAAACUCUGCUCUCUACAGAGAGCCCGAAAGCAAGAUCAAUACCUGCCCAGCUCCAAACAUAUUAUUAGCAAUACACGCAUUCCUUUCCUCUGACACACGUAAAAGCUACUGCUGGCCUAGUUCACACGGAGUUCAUGCUCACAGCACAUCCAGUCUUUAUUUUUACCCCAAGAUUCACUCUCACUGGCUCAGUCGGCCUCAGGGUAAAGAAGUGACCAUACCAAAGGCUGCACUGCAUCCAUACACUGCAUACUGUGAAAGAAAACGCAGCCCCCUCUGAGCUCCAAAGCGUUGCAGUUUCUGUCAGGCUACACUUCACACACAACAGCCCUCUGCUCCUCCACUUCUGACUCCCUCCUAAUGGAUUUCCUCAUUAUGCGGACUGUGAGGUAAAUAACCUUCACCCCAAAAAGAUGAGGUGCACAUCUGCCUACUGCUGUCAUGAAACAGUCGGUGACAGAGAAGGAGUGGACAGCAAUUAAAAACCUGUUUUGAAUUAUCCUUACAGAACCAAGAUAUUGCAAAGAAAGGCAACUGGGAAAGUAAAUAAAAAUAAGUCCAGGAGUAAGGGCUAAAAGAGCACGUGUGCCUUUGUUUAAAACUGAGUUGGUAUCAGUUCCCUUUGUGCUCAUUUUCAUCAACCAGCAGAAGGAAGAAGGGGUCAGACCCAUAUUACAGGACAGGUGCCCACAAGUGUGGCCACGAGCUUUGGGGGGCAAAGGGCACACGGCUGCCACCCGUCCCGCUGCUGCACACCUAAGAAGCUCCUCUGUGCAGACAUUCAGCAUUCCAACGCUACCUUUAUUUGCUAAGGAAUCAUGUAUAUAACUCCAAGAUGUGGCUACCUUUUACUCUGUUUCCACUUGCUUUGCCUGCAAUACCAGCAGCCACAGAACCAGUACAAGUGGCAGCCAUGCUAACAGGCAGGCAUCAGCUGGAGGCAGGCAACUGGCAGAGAGACACCUCCUACUGCAACAAAACACUGGGAAGGAGUGCAAGGACUGCCAGACCGGACAGCCCUGCAGUCAGCUGCUCGCUGGGUUUUAGGCAACCUUCUGGACCAGCCUCUGGGAAAUUUUAGGCAACCAGUCACCCUCAGAAGCAGACUGUACACUUCACGUGCUUAAUUUAUUGUGGGAGGGUUUGGUGGGGUUCUGGUUUGGGGUGUUUUCGUUUGGUUGGUUGUUUUUUUCCCCAGACAGUCUCCUUUAUCAGAGAAAGGUUUAAAAUCACCUGUCACCCUCGGCUGACAACACACUCACUCUUCAUUUUCACCCUGUAUUUACAUACUGGCCAUUAUCUCUCAGGUAAGGUAACAAAAGAGGCUCUCUCCAGUUUUCUCACCCCAGCAAUGGGAGAACAUACCAGCACGCACUGAUCAGCAGGAAUAUUCCCUGGAUGCAGAAUAAAGACAUUCUUGGAAACAUAAGUCUUUCUGCUUAGGCCUUUUAGAGAAGAUUGCCACCAGAGAUUUGAGCUGUGUGACUGCUACACCAAAGCACUGCGUUCACAGCCUCAGUUCCAUAUUGUACCACCCUUACGUGACAUGUAACUGUUCUAAUUGUUUAUGGGAAGGAGCUGGCGAGGAGGGGGAAGGCCCCGCACGGGGCAGCGCUGACCGACUGUUAUCAGCGAGAGAAGGCACAGUUGCCAUGGUACCAAAAUGGAGGUGUAAUGCAGUAAUCUAAAUGAAGGCCGCACUUACCAGAUGGGGACAUGUACUCAGCAUUGGCCCUGCAAACCACCCGAACCGGCAGAUUGCACAUUUGCAAGAAGGCCUGGAAACAAAGCAUUGAGAGAGCAUUGAUACACCAGUGACAAACAGAUGCGUUCUUCUCGAUACAUUUGACUACAUCUUAGCAAACUGUAAGCACACACCUACCAAGUACAGCUCCUCGCAUAAUGCUUUUAAGAAAAAAAGAAAACCACGGUUUUCAACUUCUUCGGACAAUUAUCAUCCAGCCAAUGGCUGGAAUUCCUCUAAUUAAGAUUCUCCCCCACACACACACUUAAGAGAUGCAAAGAAGCAGUGCUGUAGCUGCAAGAAAUUCAGUGACAUUCUGCUCCUCCUGAAAACCACAGUAUGUACUUCUUGUGGCUGAAGCUGUCUAACCAAGCUUACAUUGUGUAACACAGCAAACACGCAGCACCUUCCCACACUGCAACAGUCAUCAGAUCUUUUGCUUUACAGUACUCUAUGAGCACAUCUGCCUUAUUUAUUUCCUCUAAUUUAUGUGAACUGUACUGAGUGCAAGUGAUUAAUUUACUGCUUCCUUCAUCUCCAGCCCUGGAUUCGGACAUUCUCACUAGGAUACACACUGCUGUCAGCAGCUGCCAUUGCUACAAAAGCCCUGACAUGUUUCUGUUUAAACAGCAAAAUAUCAAGAAAUGUAAUUUGGAUGUAUCGUGGAAAUAAGGAAUCUUCAUCUCCAGAGUCUCUCACAGCUCAGCUCAAGUCCUAUCAUUCAUUUUGUCUUUGCCAUUAGAAAGGUCAGAACGCCAGAUUCCAACAUCACACCUUUUUAUCCACUGUGGCUGGAAGCUGAAGCCUACACCAAGGUCACUAACCAUGAAGGAAAAGGCUGCUGGAAGUUGAGGGGCAGCACGUGCUCUGCAUUCACCGUAAGCAAGCAGACCAAAGCCAAAAUGCUAAGAUCUUCAAAGAUGGAAAACAGUACAGCAUACUUUUAAAUCCUGUUUUGGAAACAGCUAUCCCAGCCUGAACAACAUGUACUCCAUGUGCACUUCUGUCUCAUUUGGGAGAGGGGGUAGAAAACCAAAGGAAACAAAGUACACAGCAUCCAGCAAAGCCCUGUCACAGGCUUCCAGAACCUGACCUGACCAUAACUAUGUAUGGGCAGGAAUCAAUGCCCGUGGCAGAAGGGCACCUCUGCUCGAUGUAAGACCACGAGGUGUUAACAAAUACCAACAUCAGCCCCGUUCCUAACUUUGCGGCUUCUGUAGUACCCAUCAAGCAAACGAACAACCCACUCCUCUCCUCCUCAGGAGCUUCAUUCCCAAACCCUAACCCAAGCACUGACGCUAACAGUACCCAGGGAACAAAAGCCAAAAGCUUUGGUCCCUUCCAAUGCCUCUUCCAACCAACUCAAGAACCCCACAGCCCAUUACAUCAUUUGGCUCUCGCUAUUUCAGAUGACCUAAGUGAAUCCCAAACCCCAAAUUAAAGCAGGGAGCUAUGGUCACAAGCUGCUAAAGACACUGAUUACAGCUGACAGGAGCGCCUGCCUCUGAACUCGAGAGGCUCAGCAAAAUCCAC